RNAcentral lists this ribosomal RNA (450 nucleotides) under uncultured Glomeromycotina. Its description in RNAcentral is "SSU rRNA". It matches the Rfam family "Eukaryotic small subunit ribosomal RNA", at positions 569 to 1024 of the family's 1831-position model. Lineage: Eukaryota; Fungi; Glomeromycota. The record is from RNAcentral.
AGCAGCCGCGGUAAUUCCAGCUCCAAUAGCGUAUAUUAAAGUUGUUGCAGUUAAAAAGCUCGUAGUUGAAUUUCGGGAUCAAUAUAUCGGUCGUGCCUUCGGUACGUACUGGUAUCAUUGGUUUCUCCUUUCUGACGAACCAUGAUGUUAUUAAUUUGGUGUUAUGGGGAGUUAGGACUGUUACUUUGAAAAAUUAGAGUGUUUAAAGCAGGCUUUAGCUUGAAUACAUUAGCAUGGAAUAAUGAAAUAGGACGUUCGAACCUAUUUUGUUGGUUUCUAGGAUCAACGUAAUGAUUAAUAGGGAUAGUUGGGGGCAUUAGUAUUCAAUUGUCAGAGGUGAAAUUCUUGGAUUUAUUGAAGACUAACUACUGCGAAAGCAUUUGCCAAGGAUGUUUUCAUUAAUCAAGAACGAAAGUUAGGGGAUCGAAGACGAUCAGAUACCGUCGUAGU